GCAUUAAUGGGGUAGUGGUAACCUGGGUCGUUGCCAUGAUGGGCUAAUGAUUCUGCCAUGAGUUCUCGACCCGCCGGGGGUUCGAUUCCCCCUUAAUGCA
This 100-nucleotide transfer RNA is filed under the name Lentinula edodes (shiitake mushroom). RNAcentral describes it as "tRNA-Gly". It matches the Rfam family "tRNA". Rfam says of the family: Transfer RNA (tRNA) molecules are approximately 80 nucleotides in length. Their secondary structure includes four short double-helical elements and three loops (D, anti-codon, and T loops). Further hydrogen bonds mediate the characteristic L-shaped molecular structure. tRNAs have two regions of fundamental functional importance: the anti-codon, which is responsible for specific mRNA codon recognition, and the 3' end, to which the tRNAs corresponding amino acid is attached (by aminoacyl-tRNA synthetases). tRNAs cope with the degeneracy of the genetic code in two manners: having more than one tRNA (with a specific anti-codon) for a particular amino acid; and 'wobble' base-pairing, i.e. permitting non-standard base-pairing at the 3rd anti-codon position. The record is from RNAcentral. Lineage: Eukaryota; Fungi; Basidiomycota; Agaricomycetes; Agaricales; Omphalotaceae.